RNAcentral lists this long non-coding RNA (1326 nucleotides) under Struthio camelus australis. RNAcentral's name for it is "lncRNA (ENSSCUG00000001823.1)". The record is from RNAcentral. Lineage: Eukaryota; Metazoa; Chordata; Aves; Struthioniformes; Struthionidae.
UGCUAUCAGUUUGAGUCAUUGAACAAACACGGGAUCUGAUUCUGUCCAAAACCCUUUGGCUCAUAUUUGACCAGCAACAGUGAGAAUUUUGCCUGAAAAAGACACUCAGGCUCAAAAUUAGUAUUACUAACUCUCAUCAUUGUAUGCCUUGUUGAGCGUUUUUCUUUAAAUCCCAGAUACUGUAAUCGAGAAGACAUGUUAUGAAACCGUAAUUCGUAACACAGCAAGUUUCUACCUAUCAUAGGUUCCCUCAAAACCCUGAAUGUGGAAAGGAAGCACUCAAAAGCCUGAGGGUAAACAAAGAACCCACAGCGUGCCAGGGAUUUUGCUUUUUUGCUUCUUAAACUGUCUGGUUUGAAAAUCAUCCUGUGAUUUACCAGAGGCAAGGGAGAUUUUCAGUUUUCAAAUAUUUCUUACUGACAGUAGAACCAUGAUGAUGUCAGAAAAGGAGGAAUCGCAUAAAUUCACGUGAUACACUGUACGUGCUUAUCAGAACCUUUAAAAUGCCACUCUGACGUUACUGCUGUCAGUGGUUAUCGAUGUCAGAAAUCAAGGUCCUAGGUAUUUUUUGAACAUCUCUCAUGAAAAUAUCGUUUAAGUCUGUUUAUUGAAAAAUCUAUUUCUAAAUGCUGACGGUUACUUUCAACAUGAUCACUAAUUGUGCAUAUAAAAACACUUUGAAAACAUUCACUAACAAGUUGUGAUAUUUAAAUUAUCAUAAACGGCCAAAAUUAUAACAUGAAAAUUUACCUAUUUUUCUUUGCAAAUUUGCUUUUAAUUGCUAUCAGUUUCAGAAAUUACAAAAAACUCUCAUUUCUCUUUUCUUACCUACCAUACAGAACUGACAACCUUCGAAGCACUCAACGUAUUUGUAUUACGGGAAGAUACAGGACUAGCACUGAGAAGACAGAUAAGAGUCUGGUUCUGCCACUACUUAUAGGAGAAGUCUGCCAGCCUCUCCUAGAGAAUCUGAGAAGUCCUAAACUCUACCUUGUUCUCAUCACCCUCCUUGUAGAAGGAAACAGAAACAGUGUUUCUAUUUAUAAAGAAACACUUCAUAUCAUUUUUGGGAUGAGGAUGCCCUUCCAAAAAAAGCAUAGUGAAUCUUUUUGUUUGUUUCUUUCUUUCCACCAUUCUUGCCUUUGGAGCAUUAAGUGUCCGCAUUCUAAUACGUGUCAUGUGUAACAGUAUUGCAAAGAGAGGAAUUACUAACAUUUUCUGGGAAUACGUGACCUUACUAUUAUCAGAAAGCAUCAAAAGCCAUUAUCUAAGGGACACAAAGUAGUUUUCUGAAGCAGAUUUCUGAAAAUAUAAUUUUUCUUUUUC